This 467-nucleotide ribosomal RNA is filed under the name uncultured bacterium. RNAcentral describes it as "SSU rRNA". It matches the Rfam family "Bacterial small subunit ribosomal RNA", at positions 26 to 518 of the family's 1533-position model. The record is from RNAcentral.
AGGACUAACGCUGGCGGCGUGCCUAACACAUGCAAGUCGAACGAGAGUAGCAAUACUCUAGUGGCAGACGGGUGAGUAACACGUGGUCAACCUUCCCUAGCGUGGGGGAUAACUAGCCGAAAGGUUAGCUAAUACCGCAUGACAUCGUCGAGUGGCAUCAUUUGACGAUCAAAGGAGCAAUCCGCGCAAGGACGGGACCGCGUCCCAUUAGCUAGUUGGUGAGGUAACGGCCCACCAAGGCUUCGAUGGGUAGCUGGUUUGAGAGAGCGACCAGCCACACUGGGACUGAGACACGGCCCAGACUCCUACGGGAGGCAGCAGUGAGGAAUUUUCCGCAAUGGGCGAAAGCCUGACGGAGCGACGUCGCGUGUGGGAAGAGGCCUUCGGGUCGUAAACCACUGUCGAAGGGGAAGAUAUUGACGGUACCCUUGGGAGGAAGCCCCGGCUAACUACGUGCCAGCAGCCGC